AGGGCUGUAGCUCAGUGGUAGAGCACCUGCUUUGCAUUCAGAAGGUCCCAGGUUCAAUCCCCGGCAUCUCUA
RNAcentral lists this transfer RNA (72 nucleotides) under Podarcis lilfordi (Lilford's wall lizard). It matches the Rfam family "tRNA". From Rfam's summary of the family: Transfer RNA (tRNA) molecules are approximately 80 nucleotides in length. Their secondary structure includes four short double-helical elements and three loops (D, anti-codon, and T loops). The record is from Rfam by way of RNAcentral. Lineage: Eukaryota; Metazoa; Chordata; Lepidosauria; Squamata; Lacertidae.